UUGAACUAUUGUUGUAUUCUAAAGUAUUGCAAGAUUAAACAUCUUGUGAAGGAAAGGAUGUGGAACUACUCUUUCUUUUUAGGGUUUCGAUUCAACAAUUUCAUUUUUUCUUUUCUAUCGAUUGAGGUCUCACUUUUAAUUCUAUCAAUUGUAACAACACAUCCAAAUUUCAUCGCUUAUUUUCAGUAUUGUACUUGUUCUAUUUUGAAUUCUCAAUUUAGAAUUCCCAUUAAGACGUUUUUGUGCUUUUUUUUUUACCAGGUUUAGCAUUUGAAUUAGGGAUUUGCUUUUUCAAAUGGAGGACAGUGAACUUGAUUUCUCACCGUUGGGUUUGCGUUCAUCUUCCUCUCGCCGUUGGGUUUGCAUUCAUAUCUCUCAUCGCUGGGUUUACAUUCAGUUUCUUUCACCAGUGAUUAUAUGCAUGUCAUGUCAGGUGCAUUGCUUGUUUGUUUGCAAUUAAAUUUCGUAUCAACAUUAGUUUAUCACCACCUACAAUGUUUAAGGUUUCAUUAUGUUGUUAUUUAUUAUUACAGAAGGCUUAAAUAGUCAAGAGUUAGAGAGAAGGGAACCAAGGUAUUUUCAAGGGUGA
RNAcentral lists this long non-coding RNA (589 nucleotides) under Trifolium pratense (red clover). Its description in RNAcentral is "long non-coding RNA (TPRA_LNC005165)". The record is from RNAcentral. Lineage: Eukaryota; Viridiplantae; Streptophyta; Magnoliopsida; Fabales; Fabaceae.